CCUACGGGCGGCAGCAGUGGGGAAUAUUGGGCAAUGGGCGCAAGCCUGACCCAGCAACGCCGCGUGAAGGAAGAAGGCUUUCGGGUUGUAAACUUCUAUUCUCAGGGACGAAGCAAGUGACGGUACCUGAGGAAGAAGCCACGGCUCACGACGUGGCAGCAGCCGCGGUAAUACGGAGGUGGCAAGCGUUAUGCGGAUUUACUGGGUGGAAAGGGCGAGUAGGCGGGGGCGCAAGUCAGAUGUGAAAACCACGGGCUCAACCUGUGGCCUGCUUUUGAAACUGUGUUUCUUGAGUACUGGAGAGGCAGACGGAAUUCCUAGUGUAGCGGUGAAAUGCGUAGAUAUUAGGAGGAACACCAGUGGCGAAGGCGGUCUGCUGGAC
This 382-nucleotide ribosomal RNA is filed under the name uncultured bacterium. RNAcentral's name for it is "partial 16S ribosomal RNA". It matches the Rfam family "Bacterial small subunit ribosomal RNA", at positions 338 to 734 of the family's 1533-position model. The record is from RNAcentral.